CCGGCGCACGGGUGAGUAACACGUAUGCAACCUGCCCUCUUCAGGGGGACAACCUUCCGAAAGGGAGGCUAAUCCCGCGUAUAUCGGUUUCGGGCAUCCGAGAUCGAGGAAAGAUUCAUCGGAAGAGGAUGGGCAUGCGGCGCAUUAGCUAGACGGCGGGGUAACGGCUCACCGUGGCGACGAUGCGUAGGGGUUCUGAGAGGAAGGUCCCCCACACUGGUACUGAGACACGGACCAGACUCCUACGGAAGGCAGCAG
Molecule: ribosomal RNA, 258 nt
Filed under: uncultured bacterium
Lineage: Bacteria
Description: partial 16S ribosomal RNA
Rfam family: Bacterial small subunit ribosomal RNA
Source: RNAcentral